RNAcentral lists this ribosomal RNA (254 nucleotides) under uncultured bacterium. RNAcentral describes it as "partial 16S ribosomal RNA". It matches the Rfam family "Bacterial small subunit ribosomal RNA", at positions 524 to 776 of the family's 1533-position model. The record is from RNAcentral.
UACGUAGGGGGCGAGCGUUAUCCAGAUUUACUGGGCGUAAAGCGCGUGUAGGCGGCUGGUUAGGUGUGAUGUGAAAUCCUCGGGCUCAACCCGAGAACUGCAUUGCAAACCGGCCUGGCUAGAGUGCAGGAGAGGGAAGCGGAAUUCCAGGUGUAGCGGUGAAAUGCGUAGAUAUCAAGUGGAACACCAGUGGCGAAGGCGAAUCCCUGGAAAAUACCUGACACUGAGGCACGAAAGCUAGGGGAGCAAACAGG